This 440-nucleotide ribosomal RNA is filed under the name uncultured bacterium. Its description in RNAcentral is "partial 16S ribosomal RNA". It matches the Rfam family "Bacterial small subunit ribosomal RNA", at positions 338 to 795 of the family's 1533-position model. The record is from RNAcentral.
CCUACGGGAGGCAGCAGUGGGGAAUAUUGCACAAUGGGGGGAACCCUGAUGCAGCAACGCCGCGUGGGCGAAGAAGUACCUCGGUAUGUAAAGCUCUAUCAGCAGGGAAGAAAAUGACGGUACCUGACUAAGAAGCCCCGGCUAAAUACGUGCCAGCAGCCGCGGUAAUACGUAGGGGGCAAGCGUUAUCCGGAUUUACUGGGUGUAAAGGGAGCGUAGGCGGCCUGGCAAGUCUGGAGUGAAAGCCCGGGGCCCAACCCCGGGACUGCAUUGGAAACUGGGGGGCUGGAGUGUCGGAGGGGUAGGCGGAAUUCCUAGUGUAGCGGUGAAAUGCGUAGAGAUUAGGCGGAACACCGGUGGCGAAGGCGGCUUACUGGACGAUAACUGACGUUGAGGCUCGAAGGCGUGGGGAGCAAACAGGAUUAGAUACCCGUGUAGUC